Molecule: ribosomal RNA, 707 nt
Filed under: uncultured bacterium
Lineage: Bacteria
Description: bacterial SSU rRNA
Rfam family: Bacterial small subunit ribosomal RNA
Source: RNAcentral
ACCGGCGCACGGGUGCGUAACGCGUAUGCAACCUACCUUUAACUGGGGAAUAAUCCGAAGAAAUUUGGUCUAAUACCCCAUAACAUUUCGGAAGGCAUCUUCUGAAUUUGAAAACUCCGGUGGUUAAAGAUGGGCAUGCGUUGUAUUAGCUUGAUGGUGAGGUAACGGCUCACCAUGGCUGUGAUACAUAGGGGGACUGAGAGGUUUUCCCCCACACUGGUACUGAGACACGGACCAGACUCCUACGGGAGGCAGCAGUGAGGAAUAUUGGUCAAUGGACGCAAGUCUGAACCAGCCAUGCCGCGUGCAGGAUGAAGGUGCUAUGCAUUGUAAACUGCUUUUGUACGAGGGUAAACUCGGGUACGUGUACCCGACUGAAAGUAUCGUACGAAUAAGGAUCGGCUAACUCCGUGCCAGCAGCCGCGGUAAUACGGAGGAUCCGAGCGUUAUCCGGAUUUAUUGGGUUUAAAGGGUACGUAGGCGGUUGAAUAAGUUAGAGGUGAAAGCUCGAUGCUCAACAUCGAAAUUGCCUCUGAUACUGUUCGACUAGAGUAUAGUUGCGGAAGGCGGAAUGUGUGGUGUAGCGGUGAAAUGCUUAGAUAUCACACAGAACACCGAUUGCGAAGGCAGCUUUCCAAACUAUCACUGACGCUGAGGCACGAAAGCGUGGGGAGCAAACAGGAUUAGAUACCCUGGUAGUCCACGCC